GAUAUUGCUAUUCAAGCUGAAGAGAUAUUAAAAUCAAAGUCGUUACUGAACAAUCUAUUAUCAAUACAUACCAAGAGGCCCCUGAGUGAUAUAGAGUCGGCAGUUGAACGUGAUAAGUUCCUGUCACCGACUGAAGCUAAAGAGUUUGGACUCAUUGAUCAUGUACUACACCACACCACUAGCCAGUGACUUUAUAAAAAUUAUUAAUAAAAUUAAUUAUAAUAAUAAUCAUGUAAUAAUGUAUAGUUCUAACUGGCCACAAAAUAAUAAUAUUAAUAGUAAUAAUAAUAAUUAUUAUUAUUUUACAAAAAGGAGUGUAAAAGGAGAG
This is a long non-coding RNA of Amphimedon queenslandica, 328 nucleotides long. RefSeq lists it as uncharacterized. The transcript has 2 exons. NCBI's taxonomy places the organism in Eukaryota, Metazoa, Porifera, Demospongiae, Haplosclerida, Niphatidae. The record is from RefSeq and is a predicted model, not a curated record.